UACGUAGGUGGCAAGCGUUAUCCGGAUUUAUUGGGCGUAAAGGGAACGCAGGCGGUCUUUUAAGUCUGAUGUGAAAUCCUUCGGCUUAACCGGAGUAGUGCAUUGGAAACUGGGAGACUUGAGUGCAGAAGAGGAGAGUGGAACUCCAUGUGUAGCGGUGAAAUGCGUAGAUAUAUGGAAGAACACCAGUGGCGAAAGCGGCUCUCUGGUCUGUAACUGACGCUGAGGUUCGAAAGCGUGGGUAGCAAACAGG
RNAcentral lists this ribosomal RNA (253 nucleotides) under uncultured bacterium. RNAcentral describes it as "partial 16S ribosomal RNA". It matches the Rfam family "Bacterial small subunit ribosomal RNA", at positions 524 to 776 of the family's 1533-position model. The record is from RNAcentral.